AACGAACGCUGGCGGCAUGCCUAACACAUGCCAGUCGAACGAGACCUUCGGGUCUAGUGGCGCACGGGUGAGUAACGCGUGGGAACCUGCCCUUAGGUUCGGAAUAACUCCCCGAAAGGGGUGCUAAUACCGGAUAAUGUCUUCGGAGCAAAGAUUUAUCGCCUUUGGAUGGGGGCUCGUUGGAUUAGCUAGUUGGUAGGGUAAAAGCCGACCAAGGCGACGUUCCAUGGCUGGUCUGAGAGGAUGAUCAGCCACACUGGGACUGAGACACGGCCCAGACUCCUACGGGAGGCAGCAGUGGGGAAUAUUGGACAAUGGGCGAAAGCCUGAUACAGCAAUGCCGCGUGAGUGAUGAAGGCCUUAGGGUUGUAAAGCUCUUUUACCCGGGAUGAUAAUGACAGUACCGGGAGAAUAAGCUCCGGCUAACUCCGUG
This 433-nucleotide ribosomal RNA is filed under the name uncultured bacterium. RNAcentral describes it as "partial 16S ribosomal RNA". It matches the Rfam family "Bacterial small subunit ribosomal RNA", at positions 29 to 507 of the family's 1533-position model. The record is from RNAcentral.